Long non-coding RNA from Myiozetetes cayanensis, 5632 nucleotides. RefSeq lists it as uncharacterized. The transcript is spliced from 5 exons. The record is from RefSeq and is a predicted model, not a curated record. Lineage: Eukaryota; Metazoa; Chordata; Aves; Passeriformes; Tyrannidae.
CUGGGAUCUGUAUGGGUAAGACAACCCCAGUAUCCUUUAAAAUCAGCAUGCCAGUAGUAGAUUUCAAGAUGCCUUUUGCUGCAUCUCCAGGAGCAAGGCAAGCCAAGAAACCUUUGCUUUUUGAAGGAGAAAAUGCAGAGAUGGAGAAGGAAGAAAUGAAUAUACCUGAGACCUCCCUGAGCCACAGGCAGUCCAUGAAGAGCCUUCCUGGGAAUGGGAGGAUGGUGAGGACUCUGCAUUGCUCCCUCUGGAUGCGUGGGGGCUGUGGCAUGGAAACUGCAGAGAGCCAAGCCAGGGGAUUGAAAGGGACUAAUCCAGGAAGGUGAAGAAAGAAGGAAGAAGGAACUGAGGCAGCAGCCAAGCAGCACCAAGUUCCUCUGUCAGCAAGUGAGUUGUCUUGAGGUUCCUAAGGCAGACCCUUGGGACUUUGGAGACUCCAGACAGAGAAGACCGUGGAAGCCCCUUGGAGAAGCCCCUCAGAAACCUUACAGGGUAGAUGUGGAUGGUAAUAAGUGCUGGGCAAUGUCCUGAGUGUGGAACAGGAAUGCAGGGAACAAAGUGAACCCUCCUGUAAUGCUGAUCCCUCCCCUCAGCUACAGUGGAGACCCCUCUGUGUGCACUGCGGGAGCUGAUGGCCAGGACAGGCGCUGGGCUGGGAUGAUCCAAGAGCAUAGGAAUAAAAGAAUGCCUGGCUUGUAAAACUCACCAGUUGAGUCUUUGGGGUUUUUGUAGGAAAUUGUAGGUGACACCUGAAGCUCUAGUGUGGACUUGUGUGUUUGGUUGGGAAGAGAUUUUCCAGGGAAGAGGAAUCUUUGUCAGUGCGAGAAGUUGCCCUUGAUGAAGUUCCCUUCAGAGCUGAUGCCCUUGGCAGGAGAAGGGCUCAGCAAGGAGGCUUUUUCCUCCUGGGCAGGAAGAGAGGCCAGUGCCCUUCCUGCCCAAGGCCCAGCCCAGCAGGGCUUGCAGGAGCUGCUGGUGUGGCUGUUCUUUGGGUUCUCAGCUGUGCCUGUGGGGUGGUGACGUCGCGUUCCUGCCUGUGCUCCAGGACAGCCCCUGGGCCUUUUUGGGAGCCUGAGGGAUUGCAGCACUGGUGUCCUUCUGUCCUCCAGGUAGAACUGUCUGGGGUAGUCUCUGAUCUCCCUGAUUUUUGUAUCAUCCCUGAAACUUGGAAAAAAGUUGCCCUUGUGUGACUUCCCCCCUGACUUGUCUGGGUUGAAGCAAGAGUGGCAGAUUGUUGUAGUGUGCAGGUGUUUGUUUGUGUCUGAGCAGUUUGGGGUUUAUUUCCCAAGGGAGGCCAUGGAAUGUUCUGGUGUUUUUGUCCCAAUAUUUGGAGGUAGUGCCCUGCAUUAGUUGAUUUCUGCCCCUCUCCCUGAUAUCUGAGUGUGGAAGUGGACCAAGAGCUGGUAGUUUGUGCAAUGGGAUGUACCCUGGAAACUCCAUGGAGCUGAGUCAAGGGAUUGAAAGGGACUAAGGAAGCAAAGGAAAGAAACAAGGAGGAAGGGAACUGAGGCAGCAGCCAAGCAACACCAAGUUCCUCUGUCAGCAGGUGAACUGUUUGAAGCUGAUAAGGUGGUGACUUAGAACUUUGGGGGCUCCAGGCACUGGUGACCACCAGAGACCCCCAGUGUAACCACUCAGACCUUCUAAGGGUAGGUGUGUAUGGGAAUAGGUGUUGGGGGAUGUCCUGAGUGUGGAUCAGGAAUGCAGGGAAUAAAGUGAAGCCUCCUGUAAUGCUGAUCCCUCCCCUCAGCUGCAGUGGAGACCCCUCUGUGUGCACUGUGGGAGCUGAUGGCCAGGACAGGCGCUGGGCUGGGAUGAUUGCAGGGUGUUGUCAGCAAGGAAUGCCUGGCUUGUAAAAGUGCCCAGCUGAGUGUGAGAGGCUUCUUUGCCGAGCUGCUUUCAGGCAGCCAAAUGGGCCCCAGCAGGGACUCUGUGCCUGCUGUCCCGUGGUUCCCAGGGAUCUCUGGGCCUUCAUGCCGGCACCGAGGUGUUCUCGGGAAGGCCCUCAGAUCCCCGGAGCAGUGUGGGACACGGGCACGAUGCCCCUGCCUUUUGGGAGCAGAUUGGGCCCCCUGGAGGGACAGUGCUGUUGGUGCCCCCCGGGCUGGGGCACCCCGAGGACUCGAGCGCGCACCCAAAGGAUUCUUCGGGGAGCUCCUCUGGGUGCCCCAAGCUGGGGAGCUCCAAGCAAGGUCCCUGCAAUGGACUGAGGCAUUCCUGAGAGUAUCAGAGGUGUAGCUGUCCGUCCUGGCCAUGGAGCUCUGGAAUGGGCUGUAAUUGGGUUCUAAAAGUGGUGCUCCGACUGCCAAAGAAGUGUGGGAUUGGGAUUAAGGAAUGAGUGGUGAUGGUACCAUUGGGUGUUUUGUCUUGAGUGGAAUUGUGAGAGCUGCAGGAGUGCAAGGUGUGGGUUCCAGUCCCCAGCAUUUGGUUUGGACAUGUGCUGGUCAGACAAAGGUCCAACUUUCUCAGUCCUUAACACAAGAGAGGGAGAAUUGCACUGUGAAGGUGAAUGGUGUGACAGGGGUUUAACUGGGAAAACAGUGAGUAAUUCCUUACUUUGUGUAUUUUCCGAAAUUACCCAAACCACUGCCAGGAAGAGAUUGGUUGGAAAAGCUGAGGUAGAAAUGAAAUUGGAAAAUGGGAGAUGACUGAAAUGGUAAUUGCUGAAACUAACUGUGUGAGAGCAGCUUCUCUUCUCGUGCAGGAAAUAACUCUUAUCAGCAGCACCGUCCCGACUGAAGUGGCAGAUGGAGUUGUUCCUGUGGUGUGGGCCAGUGGAAAACAGUUGUGGCCUAUGAAGGGCCAGGUUGGACACUUGUCAAACAGGAGCAGAAGUGACUCUCCAGGUAGCCCAAUAUAAAUAUGGGAAGCCAAGGGGUCAAGUAAACCAGUGCAUGCUGGGAGUGCAGAGGCAGGGAUAGGUUGGGAUCACAAGAACUGGGGUGGAGAUGCUUGGGAUUGAGCUGCUUUAGAGCCUGGUUCAGAGGGGGAAGUGUUUGCUGAAGCACAGCCAAUAACAGGAGAGAAAGGGGAAGGUGACCCCGAUGGUUCUCCCGUCAGGCCUGAUGUGGUGGAGGAUUUUACUCAGCCUGAACUUGCUGGUGCUGUGGAGAAGUUUAAAGCAAAGGCCAGAGAGUCUGUGAUCUCCUGGGCAGUUGGGCUGCAUGAGCUGGGAGCCUCUGGGCUCAGAUUGGACUGGGCAGGCAGGGAGCAGUUUGUCCCGUGGAGCUGGGCUGGGUUUGUUCGGGAUGCCUUGGGAGGCAGGGCUGGAGAGGCUCCUUUGUUGGCUGCAGUGGUGGGAGGUUGUCCCAGGAGGGCUGGAGCCCUUGGACCUCCUGCUCCCCCCGUGAGCCCCGACGGGACCGUGCACUUGGCAAUGGAGGGCCCCCCAUUGCCGAGUCAGCGGUUCCGGGGGCCGGCAGGGAUGGGAUCAGGAUGCCGAGCUCCGGCCAGGGCAGGGCUGCAAAUGGGGCAGCCACUGCAAGAACCCAAGGCAGAGGGAGAUGAAGGCCGAGCUCCAGCACAAGGGUGGGCGAGAAAAGCCCGUGGCCCUCAGGUGGAGCUUUGAAUUCCUUGGGAAAAUGGAUCUUGUCCAAGGGCUUAGGCCCUUGUGGGUGCUGGAGCGGAGGCCUCUUCAACUGAUGGUGACCCUAAAAAGGUGCAAGGACAACAAGUUUUGAUGACAGGAUGAGGUGGCAAACAAGGUGAAGUGGUCCAGAGAAAAGCUGAGCUUCAGAUUGGUGCUGUGCCCAAGCAGCCUUGUGGAGUGCUUGUUGCUGUGCCUGACUGUGGAAUGGCAGUGGAUAUUCCCAAGGGCUGCCUUGUGCCGAGGAACACUGGGCUCAGUUCCCUGUCCCUGGGCAGGGCAGGCAGGGCAUGUUUACCUGCCCCCCUCGAGGGUGGCUCCAUAAGACUUGACUUGAUCCCCAAGCGUGAGGGGGCCGUGGGGGAGGGAUUUCUGCUGAGCCACAGUUCUGUCUCUCGGGGCAGUCAGGAUUUGAUGCCUUGCUCCGUUUCUUUUGUGUGCCAUAAAUCUGUGUCGGGUGUUGUUGGCUUGAGCUUGUUUCAACUGUUCCUGUUACCCUGUGCCUGGGGAGGAGUUGUUUCCUGGAGUGCCCUGCCUGUUGGCAAAACACCAGGUGUGUGCAGCAGCUGGAGCCUGGGCAGGUUUGGGGGCUGUGGUGAUGGUACAAUUGGGUGUUUUCUCUUGAGUGGAAUUGUGAGAGCUGCAGGAGUGCAAGGUGUGGGUUCCAGUCCCCAGCAUUUGGUUUGCACAUGUGCUGGUCAGACACGGGUCCAGCUUCCUCCACCCCUCACACAACCGAGGGAGACUUCAGGAAUGGCGCUGUGAGGGUUUGUGGCGUGACAGGGGUUAAAGUGGGAAAAUCUUGGGGAAUUCCUCAGUUGGUCUAUUUGCAAGCUCUCCUAAGCCUUUUCUAGGAAGAGAUUUGCUGGUUAAGUUGAGGCAGGUAUUAAACUGAACAAUGGAGAGAUGAUGGAAAUUGUAAUUGCUGAAACUAACUGUGUGAGAGCAGCAGCUCUUCUCGUGCAGGAAAUAACUCCUGUCAGCAGCACCGUCCCGACUGGAGUGGCAGAUGGAGUUGUUCCUGUGGUGUGGGCCAGUGGAAUUCCAGGAAAAUGGAAGAGGGCUGACCUUGUAGGUAUUAGCCCUAAGCUGGGAUCUGUAUGGGAGAAAAUCCAGAAAUGGGGAAGGAAGAAAAGAAGCCACCUGAGUCCUCCCUGAGCCACAGCCAGUGCAUGAAGUGCCUUCCUGGGAAUGGGAGGAUGAUGUGCCCUGCAGGAACUCCAGGAAUUGACGGUGACGCCUCGGCCGAUGGAUUGGACGCCCCAGCCUGUGCGUUCCUGCCCAGCCCUUGGGUCCCUGUCAAGUGGUGGGACUGCCAGCCCCUGCAGGGGACUGUGACAUGGAAACUGCAGAGAGCCGAGCCAGGGGAUUGCAAGGGACUAAGCCAGGGAGGUGAAGGAAGAAGGGAAGUGAGGCAGCAGCCAAGCAGCACCAAGUUCCUCUGUCAGCAGGUGAGUUGUCUUGAGGUUCCUCAGGCAGGCCCUUGGGACUUUGGAGACUCCAGACAGAGAAGACCGUGGAAGGCCCUUGGAGAAGCCCCUCAGAAACCUUACAGGGUAGGUGUGGAUGGUAAUAAGUACUGGAGAACACCCUGAAUAGUAAACGAGAAUGCAGGGAAUGGAAAAGGGCAUCAUUACAUGAGAGUUCAAUCAGCUGCAGUGGAGACCCCUCUGUGUGCACUGUGGGAGCUGAUGGCCAGGACAGGCACUGGGCUGUGAUGAUUGCAGGGUGUUGUCAGCAAGGAAUGCCUGGCUUGUAAAACUGCCCAGCUGAGUCUGAGAGGCUUCUUUGCCGAGCUGCUUUCAGGCAGCCAAAUGGGCCCCAGCAGGGACUCUGUGCCUGCUGUCCCGUGGUUCCCAGGGAUCUCUGGGCCUUCACGCCGGCACCGAGGUGUUCUCGGGAAGGCCCUCAGAUCCCCGGAGCAGUGUGGGACACGGGCACGAUCCCCCUGCCUUUUGGGAGCAGAUUGGGCCCCUGGAGGGACAGUGCUGUUGGUGCCCCCCGGGCUGGGGCACCCUGAGGACUCGAGUGCGCACCCAAAGGAUUCUU